This 497-nucleotide ribosomal RNA is filed under the name uncultured bacterium. RNAcentral's name for it is "partial 16S ribosomal RNA". It matches the Rfam family "Bacterial small subunit ribosomal RNA", at positions 28 to 507 of the family's 1533-position model. The record is from RNAcentral.
GAUGAACGCUGGCGGCGUGCCUAAUACAUGCAAGUCGAGCGAACAGACGAGGAGCUUGCUCCUCUGACGUUAGCGGCGGACGGGUGAGUAACACGUGGAUAACCUACCUAUAAGACUGGGAUAACUUCGGGAAACCGGAGCUAAUACCGGAUAAUAUAUUGAACCGCAUGGUUCAAUAGUGAAAGACGGUUUUGCUGUCACUUAUAGAUGGAUACGCGCCGCAUUAGCUAGUUGGUAAGGUAACGGCUUACCAAGGCAACGAUGCGUAGCCGACCUGAGAGGGUGAUCGGCCACACUGGAACUGAGACACGGUCCAGACUCCUACGGGAGGCAGCAGUAGGGAAUCUUCCGCAAUGGGCGAAAGCCUGACGGAGCAACGCCGCGUGAGUGAUGAAGGUCUUCGGAUCGUAAAACUCUGUUAUUAGGGAAGAACAAAUGUGUAAGUAACUAUGCACGUCUUGACGGUACCUAAUCAGAAAGCCACGGCUAACUACGUG